RNAcentral lists this non-coding RNA (146 nucleotides) under uncultured Draconibacterium sp. Lineage: Bacteria; Pseudomonadati; Bacteroidota; Bacteroidia; Marinilabiliales; Prolixibacteraceae. The record is from RNAcentral.
CCUACUGUUCCGUCAGUAGUAGCUCAUGGAUACAUGCAUUCGGAGUAAUCCUUUUGUGCGAAGCUAUCCAGUGAAAGAAGCCCUUUCGCAAGAAAAAGCCAAACCUGCGAGGUGGAGGCAAUGACCGUUAGCAUUGAAUAGUCGGG